RNAcentral lists this long non-coding RNA (440 nucleotides) under Glycine max (soybean). Its description in RNAcentral is "long non-coding RNA (GMAX_LNC001153)". Lineage: Eukaryota; Viridiplantae; Streptophyta; Magnoliopsida; Fabales; Fabaceae. The record is from RNAcentral.
UGGCUGAUCAUGAAUGGAAUGGUAGUGAGUCGUGACCUUCAUUCUGCUUCACAUAUAUUCCUGCAGGCUUCGCACCUGCUUAAAUAUGAUUCCAUGCUGGGAACUUUUAAAGCAGAUGUGAAAAUACUGGACAAUGAAACCAUCACUGUUGAUGGUAAGCCCAUCAAGGUUGUUUCAAGCAGGGACCCUCUUAAGCUUCCUUGGGCUGAACUUGGAAUUGACAUUGUUAUUGAGGUACGUAACUCCCCAUUACUUGACUUAUUUCAAACAUGAUCCAAUAUUGUUGUUUAUUUAUUCAAGAGCUGCUAAAAAGAUCAAUGAGUGAUAUUUGUUCAGGGAACCGGAGUGUUUGUGGAUGGCCCUGGGGCUGGUAAACACAUCCAAGCAGGUGCCAAGAAAGUUAUUAUCACUGCUCCUGCAAAGGGUGCUGAUAUUCCAAC